AGUUGGUUAAAUGGAAUCAAUUACAUACAGUAAUGGCAAAAUUCUUGGUUCAGGCUUGUAGCAGUGAAGGAAUAAACAGCAGGAUCAAAUCAAGUCUCUAGAAUACAUCUCCUGCUGGGAUGGGUCCUCAGUCCUUUGUUCAGAGCUUCAGUUGUAGCGAAGUCCCUCCAGAGGUAAGAAGCAGGAUUGAAG
This is a non-coding RNA of Chrysemys picta bellii (western painted turtle), 192 nucleotides long. Lineage: Eukaryota; Metazoa; Chordata; Testudines; Emydidae. The record is from RefSeq and is a predicted model, not a curated record.